GGGGCUGAAAUACGCUUUCGACGAUCGGAAUUUAACAGAUCAUUUUGCAAGCCGACCACUGACGUUAUCAGUAUUCUAACUGCAAAUCCAAUUGCAAAAGCUUGGGCAAGUUUCAAAGAAGUUAUGAACUUCCGCGCGCCUGUCCUUGCGCCAGUUACGGUCUAAACACUGUAACCGUUUCAUGCUCGACACCCUAUACGGCAUGACGCGUCAUAUCAUAGGGAUCGACGUCGCUAUAGCUGUGGAGUAGCGACGUGACAUAUAUUUCAUAGACCGUGAAUGCUAUGUUUGUCGUCUCUUUAGGCACCUCACGUAUCUGGAAACGACUAUGCUUGUAGAUAAAUGAUAGGUUACCGACCGGACCCGAGUGCAAUACUCGGCAGCUCCACCA
RNAcentral lists this transfer-messenger RNA (391 nucleotides) under Candidatus Saccharimonadota bacterium. It matches the Rfam family "transfer-messenger RNA". From Rfam's summary of the family: Bacterial tmRNA, also known as 10Sa RNA or SsrA, is named for its dual tRNA and mRNA-like properties. Its role is to liberate the mRNA from a stalled ribosome. The record is from RNAcentral. Lineage: Bacteria; Candidatus Saccharimonadota.